UACGUAGGUCCCGAGCGUUGUCCGGAUUUAUUGGGCGUAAAGCGAGCGCAGGUGGUUUAUUAAGUCUGGUGUAAAAGGCAGUGGCUCAACCAUUGUAUGCAUUGGAAACUGGUAGACUUGAGUGCAAGAGAGGAGAGUGGAAUUCCAUGUGUAGCGGUGAAAUGCGUAAAUAUAUGGAGGAACACCGGUGGCGAAAGCGGCUCUCUGGCCUGUAACUGACACUGAGGCUCGAAAGCGUGGGGAGCAAACAGG
Molecule: ribosomal RNA, 252 nt
Filed under: uncultured bacterium
Lineage: Bacteria
Description: partial 16S ribosomal RNA
Rfam family: Bacterial small subunit ribosomal RNA
Source: RNAcentral